Bos taurus (domestic cattle) is the source of this 1621-nucleotide long non-coding RNA. Lineage: Eukaryota; Metazoa; Chordata; Mammalia; Artiodactyla; Bovidae. The record is from Ensembl.
GCGAUACCUGGCUCCUGGGGUUUUCCCCAAAGCAGAGCCGCCACCGUGAUGACUUGCCGGGAAGCCUUCAAGGAGUCACUACUCCCAGACAGGUGGUUUGGGACAAUGUUCCCAGCAGCUGCUGAGACCACUUUUGGGGGGAGAGUCUCCCUGUCUCUCCCCUGCGCAGCACUGGCGGCAGUGUAUGCUUCUCCUUGGUGGAAUGGAAUCAUGCCUCUGGACAAGCUGACAAGCCCCGUGACCCAGUGUUGUUACCAAGAGAAUCCCCGCAGACAACCUCCUGCUUUCAAAUCACCACCUCAGAGUCAGUCCCAGACAAUGACAUUUGAAAGGAUUAAAUAAAAAGAAGAAAAGACAGCUCCUGGCCGAAAACAACAUAUUUACUGAGUGCACCUACUGCCUGUGGGGCACCAUACAGGCUGGAUGACGGGCUUCAGAGGCUCAGUAGAUCUAUGAAACCUUCCAGGAGCUCUACACCCAGACCAGCAGCCAAGAAAGGGGACUGAUGAGGCAGGUUCAGAGAGAGUGGGAUGCAGAAGUGACUCGAGGUCAGGAGCUUGUUCUCCUGUCUCCACAAUGGCUCCCUGUUGAGAAAAUACUCGGUGUCCCAGAGGCAGAGUGGAGAGAGGAACAGGUGUGCUGGCAAGGACAGAAUGCCACGCAGGAUCCAUGGGGAGACUUUCUGCAGGCCAGCUUCCAGUCUGUUCCCGGUGUCGUUCGUCUUCGAACAAGCUCACGCUCUAUUUGUGGCAGGUGGCAGAAGCACAAGAAGCCCAGCUACAGGGAAGCACGGUUAAAGCCUCUGCUCACGUCAUCUUUGCUCACAUCCUAUUGGCCAGAGCAAGUCACAUGGCCAACAUCAACUGGACCAGGAUGUAAAUUUCUCCCACGGAAGUUGAGAGAAGCCAGGACAAGGGCCAGGAAGGAAGGACUUGACCUCACAAGACCCCAGAAUGGUGGUCCAGUGUGGAGGAUGUCUGAGAUCACUGCCCACCAGCCAGCAGAGUGGAGGUUUGAGAAAAACAGCGACAUGGCAAGAGAAAGAGCGCGAGGUUAGAGACUUUGUCUUUCCAAGGCUGAUGGUAUGAUCCUCCUGCCAUGAAGCCACCUGUUGGUGUCUCUCUGCCUAAAGACCACAGUUCCGUAAUCCACGCCUCCCUCGCAGUGCCGCACUCCAGCCCUCAGGAACUCUGAAAGGAGGCUGCCCAACUGCCACUUCCCUGUGGAGGUCUUCUCCUGCCAGAGGUCUCGCCUACAGGAUCUCUCAUCACCUUUGUGUAUCACCUGCGGAGUCUCACCGCAAUCUGUCAACCUUAUUUGCUUAAAUCCGUCCACCCCACUAGAAGAUGAGCUUCCCAAAGAGCAGGACCUCUGGUCUUUCUUCAGGGCCCUGAAGCUGGUGGAUCCCGACUGAAACUCUCGGACUGAAUGACAGCUCAGAGUCCAUCAGAUAUUGAGCAGACUCCCUUUCCCCCCAGCCCCGCCCCCAGCUUUCUUCACCGGAAAUCAUUUCAAAAUCAUUCAUUUUGGAAAUAAGGCUUCUAGGGCUUCGACCGCACCCACCCACCUACGUUCCAACGGUUAGAACUGCCGCCCCGGCCCACUCACCCAAGCCCUCUAG